AAUAUUGGACGAUGGGCGAACGCAUGAUCCAGCCAUCCCGGGUGUGUGAGGAAGGUCUUCGGAUUGUAAAGCACUUUAAGUGGGGUGGGAGGGUUGUGGAGUAAUAAUCUGCAGUUUUGACGGCACCCACAGAAUAAGCACCGGCGAACUUCGUGCGAGCAGCCGCGGUGAUACGAAGGGUGCAAGGUUUAAUCGGCAUUACUGGGCGUAAAGCGCGCGUAGGUGGUGCGUUAAGUUGGAUGGGAAAGACCCGCGCUCAACCUGGCAACUGCAUCCAAAGCUGGCGGGCUAGAGUACGGUAGAGGGUGGUGGAAUUUCCUGUGUAGCGGUGAAAUGCGUAGUUAUAAGAAGGAACACCAGUGGCGAAGGCGACCACCUGGACUGAUACUAACACUGCGGUGCGAAAGCAUGGGGAGCAGACAGG
RNAcentral lists this ribosomal RNA (424 nucleotides) under uncultured bacterium. Its description in RNAcentral is "partial 16S ribosomal RNA". It matches the Rfam family "Bacterial small subunit ribosomal RNA", at positions 360 to 776 of the family's 1533-position model. The record is from RNAcentral.